Molecule: non-coding RNA, 21 nt
Filed under: Arabidopsis thaliana (thale cress)
Lineage: Eukaryota; Viridiplantae; Streptophyta; Magnoliopsida; Brassicales; Brassicaceae
Source: RNAcentral
UCCUCGGACCAGGCUUCAUCC